CUUGAGCGAGCCGAGCCAGAGCGGUUCGCCGUCCGGACGGCUCUGGCCGUACGUGGCGAGCAGCGCCUGCGCCUC
RNAcentral lists this antisense RNA (75 nucleotides) under Micromonospora sp. CNZ299. RNAcentral describes it as "ASpks TB sRNA". It matches the Rfam family "ASpks TB sRNA". The record is from RNAcentral. Lineage: Bacteria; Bacillati; Actinomycetota; Actinomycetes; Micromonosporales; Micromonosporaceae.